Molecule: long non-coding RNA, 1416 nt
Filed under: Macaca fascicularis (crab-eating macaque)
Lineage: Eukaryota; Metazoa; Chordata; Mammalia; Primates; Cercopithecidae
Description: lncRNA (ENSMFAG00000061653.1)
Source: RNAcentral
AAAGAAGGAGAUGGCAAUAUGGAGGAAAGAAGUGACUCCAGCCGGGUCUGGGUUCUAUGAGAAAGAGGAUGUGGGAAUUGAUAUUGCCUAGGCAACCAGCAGCAUCUACUACAGUCCUUUUUGAAAAUGUCCACCCUUCACCCCAAUAUUGUCACCAAGAAUGGCUGUGGCUCAUUCUGGGUCUGUGAAGAGGUCACUUCUCUAGGGGCAGAUGGGAUGGGCCUGCCAACAAAAUCAAAACACCCUCCCAACUCAAAGAGACUCAGUAACUUCUAAGAGGUGGUCCUAGAAUCUCUCUGGAGAAAAACAUGGAAAUGGAGACCAAAAGAGGGAAGGAGGGAUGCCACCAGAUGACACUGGGAUCCCGGAAAAUGGAACACUGUGUGCAACGGGCAAAGAACUUUUCAAAAGGGAUUUCAACCUCUGACCACCUGGAGACAGGAGACUGGCGCUCAUUGUAAAUGCACUGACAUGACAGGGAACAGCUGCUGGGGAGGUGGAGACGGGUCGUGGGGAGAGACAGGAAGCCCCAGCGGCUUGGAAAUCCAGGAGCCAAGGAAGCAGUGAGCUUUCUGCAGAGCCAGAUCCGGUGAAGCCAAUUCACCAGCAGGUCCCGGCAGUGACUCUUCUACAACAGAUUCCUGCCCGUCCCUGUGCCCCAUCGUUCCCCUGCCACCAAUCUCUACCCCAUGGGAGCCAGACCAAGCCUUCCUGUGUGUAGCACACAUCUCUCCUGCUUAGAGCUCACUUACUGGCUUCCGUGGCAUUUUGUUUCUUUUUUAGAGAUGGGGUCUUGCCCUGUCACCCAGGCUGGGGUACGGUGGCAUGAUCAUGGCUCACUGCAGCUCACUCCUGGGCUCAAGUGAUCCUCCUGCCUCAGCCUCUCAAGCAGCUGGGACUACAGUCUGGCACCACCCCACCCAGCUCAUUAUUUUUUGUAGACAUGGGAUCUCGCUAUGUUGCCCAAGCUGGUCUCGAAUUCCUGGCCUCAAGCAAUCUUCUUACCCCAGCCUCCCUAAGUGCUGGAAUUAUAGGUAUGAGCCAUUCCGCCAGUCUUCCGUGGCAUUUCUAACAACAUCCUUGAAGGACGUGUGUGAAUCCCUUUCCCGAUGUGUAUCUGCACUGUCCCUGUCCCGUGCUGAUUCUGCUCAGACACACUGGCUUUCUUUCUGGUCCUCUCACAGGCCAACACCGGCCCCACCCCAGGGCCUUUGCACUUACGGUUUUCCCUCAACCUAAAUACCCUACACCACUGCUGUCUGACAGAAAUAUGUAAUAACAGGAGCCUCAUAUGUACUUGUAAAUUUUCUAGCAGUAACAGAGGAAAUUAAAUUUAAUAAUAUAUUUUAUUUCACCCAAUAGAUCCAAAAUAGUAUCACUUCAAUGUGUAAUCGAUAUUAAAAUUAAUUCCUGAGA